AUGGGUUGCAGGCACUCCAAAGUGGAGGACGAGGAGGCGGUGAGGAGAUGCAGGGACAGGAGGAACCUCAUGAAGCAGCUCGUGCGCCGCCGUGUCGACCUUGCAGCCGCACACAUCACCUACCUGCAUGCACUCCGCAACACAGGAGCCACUCUCCGCCAAUUCGCCGAGGUGGAGACUGCAUCGUCACACCAGUCCCUUCCAGUCGUUGCCUCACCACCUCCUCCCCCUCCGCCGCCGCCGCCACCACCACCGCCUCCGGCAUACUCUGUGACUUCUUCCAUGCCACCAUACUCGGUGACAUCCUCAAUGCCGCCAUCACCACUCCCCCCACCACUCAUACCGUUUAGUCCGAUAAGGAUAAGAAAGAGGGAGAAGAGAGAUGGUGAUCUCGACGGGGAUGAUUCCACGGAUGAAGACGACGACACUGACAGCUGCUCGACGCCUCUGCCCCCGCCGCCGCCGCCCGGUAUGGAGUGGGAGUACACGGACCCAAUCACUAUGCGUCCCUUGGAUUUUCUUCCAUCUUCGUUGGCUGAUCGGGACGAUAAAGAAAUGGCCUCACAGGUCAGCAUGGAUGACGAUUGGGUGGAAACGAACAUAGAAUUUGAUGGACAGGAUCAAAGUGUCUCUGGCAAUGCUGAUGGCAUACUUAGGCGUGUGGAAUUGCAUCCAGCAAAGAGUAGGGUUAUGGGUGAUGAAAACUCAUCGAUGAUGAGCAGCUGGGUAACAAAGGACUCGAACUCUUCGGUGAUGGCCUGGGCGACUGACAAGUCACUGGUAGAAAUAGCCAAGGAGAUUGAUGAGUACUUCUUGAAAGCAGCCGCAAGUGGGACUGAUGUUGUUAUACUUUUGGAUUCUGCUACCGGCCGGCUAGAUCCCUCAGAGGUGCAAGUAAAGAAAGGAAAAAAUUCGAAGUCUGCCAAGGUUUUCUCUACACUUUCCUGGAGCUGGUCAUUCAAGUCUGUACAUGCUAACAGAGAAUCCUCAACUGAUGCUUGUGGAUACGGUUAUCAUGGCAAAACACUAGAUAAGCUUUAUGACGAGGAGCAAAAACUCUAUCAGUUAGUUAAGGAUGAAGAAUUUGCAAGGCUUGAAUACAGAAAGUACAGUUCAUUGCUAAAGAAGCUAGAAUCAGGGGAGCAUGAUAGGUUGCAGGCAGAGAAAGUUCGGGAAAAUAUCGAAGAACUGCAAACUCGGAUAAUGUCCUUAGAGGAAGCUGUAAGCUUGACAUGUUUGACCAUAUCAAAGAUCAGGGAUGAGGAGUUAUAUCCUCAGGUUAUUGAAUUAGCUGCAGGACUUGUGCAUAUGUGGAGAAACAUGUACGAGUGCCAUGAGGUUCAGAACCAUAUUGCCCAGCAAGCCAGUCUCCUUGGCAACCAACCUGGCAGUGAGCCGACAACUGACUCCCAUUGCUAUGCAACAUCUCAGUUGGAAGGCGAAGUCUCUGCAUGGCACAAUUCCUUCUGCAAUCUGAUCACCUUGCAGCGUGAGUACGUAACCAUCCUUAACGAAUGGAUUGGACUCACUGAUUGCCUGCCUGAUAAUGAAGGCUUCAUGAGAAGUUCAUCUGGAAUCCGUAGCCUCUGUGGGGAACUUGAGCACGCUCUUAAGAAGUUACCUGAGAAGGUAGCAGCAGAAGCAAUAAAAGCUUUUCUGUCAGUCAUACACUCUAUCGUGUUACAGCAGGCUGAGGAGCGUCAGCUGAAGAAGAAAUCAGACAACAUCGAGAGCAAGUUCCACGCCCAGCUGGAGAAACACAGCGAAAACGCAAUGCAGAGCUCAAGCCAGGGUUCGCACGCCAGGAGCUACUCAGUAUCGAAGGACGACCCGAAGCUGGACGUGUUCAGAAAGAAGGUCGAGGAGGAGAAGGCCAGGUACAUCAACUCCUUGAGGACCAGUCGAGCCAUGACGCUGAACCAUCUUCAGACGAGCCUUCCAAACGUGUUCCAUGCCCUGACGGGGUUCUCAGGAGUCUGCUUGCAGGCGUUUGAAGGCAUCAGCCGAUGCAGCGAGGCUGCUGCUGCUGCUGCUGCUAGCCACUCGGGAGCGGCUUCGCCCGCCGUCUCUUCCUGUGAUGAUCACCCGCUGUAA
This 2094-nucleotide ribosomal RNA is filed under the name Triticum aestivum (bread wheat). Its description in RNAcentral is "partial small subunit ribosomal RNA". The record is from RNAcentral. Lineage: Eukaryota; Viridiplantae; Streptophyta; Magnoliopsida; Poales; Poaceae.